RNAcentral lists this ribosomal RNA (292 nucleotides) under uncultured bacterium. RNAcentral describes it as "partial 16S ribosomal RNA". The record is from RNAcentral.
GGACUACCCGGGUAUCUAAUCCUGUUUGCUCCCCACGCUUUCGCACCUCAGCGUCAGUACCGGGCCAGUGAGCCGCCUUCGCCACUGGUGUUCUUCCGAAUAUCUACGAAUUUCACCUCUACACUCGGAGUUCCACUCACCUCUCCCGGACUCGAGCUCGCCAGUAUCAAAGGCAGUUCUGGAGUUGAGCUCCAGGAUUUCACCCCUGACUUAGCAAGCCGCCUACGUGCGCUUUACGCCCAGUGAUUCCGAGCAACGCUAGCCCCCUUCGUAUUACCGCGGCGGCUGGCAC